This 506-nucleotide ribosomal RNA is filed under the name Candida albicans. Its description in RNAcentral is "eukaryotic LSU rRNA". The stretch from base 140 to 293 matches the Rfam family "5.8S ribosomal RNA". Lineage: Eukaryota; Fungi; Ascomycota; Pichiomycetes; Serinales; Debaryomycetaceae. The record is from RNAcentral.
AUGGAAUUGCUUAUUGCACCACAUGUGUUUUUCUUUGAAACAAACUUGCUUUGGCGGUGGGCCCAGCCUGCCGCCAGAGGUCUAAACUUACAACCAAUUUUUUAUCAACUUGUCACACCAGAUUAUUACUAAUAGUCAAAACUUUCAACAACGGAUCUCUUGGUUCUCGCAUCGAUGAAGAACGCAGCGAAAUGCGAUACGUAAUAUGAAUUGCAGAUAUUCGUGAAUCAUCGAAUCUUUGAACGCACAUUGCGCCCUCUGGUAUUCCGGAGGGCAUGCCUGUUUGAGCGUCGUUUCUCCCUCAAACCGCUGGGUUUGGUGUUGAGCAAUACGACUUGGGUUUGCUUGAAAGACGGUAGUGGUAAGGCGGGAUCGCUUUGACAAUGGCUUAGGUCUAACCAAAAACAUUGCUUGCGGCGGUAACGUCUACCACGUAUAUCUUCAAACUUUGACCUCAAAUCAGGUAGGACUACCCGCUGAACUUAAGCAUAUCAAAAGCGGAGGAA